GUCUAUUUUGUUUCCAAAGCCCCGAAGAGUCAUGUAACUUAAAGAAUUUGGAAAAAAGGAAAAUGUUAUCGUGUGCCAAUAUGAAUGCUCUCAAGUGGAAUCUGAAACAUUAGCCAUUAGUACUCCUCUGGGAACCAGUCUUUGGAAGAAAUAGUUCAGCUCUUCAAUUUUUGAGGAGAAAUAUUACAAAUGCUUCUGAGAGUAUGAAGAUUUCUGUUUUUAAAGGUCAGUUUACUGAGAUGGCAGUAGUGGUGUCUGCAGCACCUUGCUGAUCAUGGAGUUGGAGUUGGACACAGUGUUAAUGGUAGACAAGACAAGAAAUGGGAAGCCCAUGAAUCUGCUGAACGUAAGAGGACAAGAACCUGCUGGAGAAACGUUUUGAAUGGACAAAUGCAACUCUUUGUAGCUGGUAUUAGCUGUCAAGGUGUUGAGUUCCUCCUUCCUGCCCUAUAUUGGGAUCAUAAAUUAUUAAUACAAACUACGGGCACACCAUCAAGCUGCCAUGAAGAUAGCUCCAUCCACACACUCCCACAAAUGCUCAGCAAGCAUCUUCAUGCAGAAGCCGUGAGCCAGAGAACUGAUUUGGCGUUCACCAUGGUUGCCACACCACAGGCACUUGAGAUUGUCAGUGGAAGUGGGCAGAUGAGCUCUCUGUACUGACUGUACACGAGUGUUUACCAGGAAGGGUUCUUCCCGAAGAUGACCUUGCAGUUCAGACAGUGAAGUAGGACUGCACCGAGUUUGCCUGGUUUCCUGGUUUCUUCCCCCUGCUCUGCCGUGAGGUCCCCGUGUGUAGUCCUUCCC
This is a long non-coding RNA of Onychomys torridus (southern grasshopper mouse), 804 nucleotides long. RefSeq lists it as uncharacterized. The record is from RefSeq and is a predicted model, not a curated record. The transcript is spliced from 4 exons. Lineage: Eukaryota; Metazoa; Chordata; Mammalia; Rodentia; Cricetidae.